This 494-nucleotide ribosomal RNA is filed under the name uncultured bacterium. Its description in RNAcentral is "partial 16S ribosomal RNA". It matches the Rfam family "Bacterial small subunit ribosomal RNA", at positions 28 to 507 of the family's 1533-position model. The record is from RNAcentral.
GACGAACGCUGGCGGCGCGCUUAACACAUGCAAGUCGAACGGAAAGGCCUGCUUUCCCUUGUGGAUUGCGGGUACUCGAGUGGCGAACGGGUGAGUAACACGUGAGUGAUCUGCCCCCAACUUGGGUAUAAGCCUGGGAAACUGGGUCUAAUUCCCGAUAGGACUGCAGGGUGGUGCCUGUGGUUGAAAACGAUUUUCUAGUGGUUGGGGAUGAGCUCGCGGCCUAUCAGCUUGUUGGUGGGGUAAUGGCCUACCAAGGCGGCGACGGGUAGCCGGCCUGAGAGGGUGGACGGCCACAUUGGGACUGAGAUACGGCCCAGACUCCUACGGGAGGCAGCAGUGGGGAAUAUUGCUCAAUGGGCGGAAGCCUGAUGCAGCGACGCCGCGUGGGGGAUGACGGCCUUCGGGUUGUAAACUCCUUUCGACCGCGAGGAAGCCACCUGGUUGGAAGGGUGGUGACGGUAGUGGUAGAAGAAGCACCGGCUAACUACGUG